UGGAGCUCGGACGCGAGUUCUA
Molecule: small nuclear RNA, 22 nt
Filed under: Arabidopsis thaliana (thale cress)
Lineage: Eukaryota; Viridiplantae; Streptophyta; Magnoliopsida; Brassicales; Brassicaceae
Description: snRNA_01191
Source: RNAcentral